UCGGGUUUCCACGUAAAUUGGUGUGAACUCGCUGUCUCUCUUUUCAAUAAAUAUGAUAUAAGAGCUCAUGAAGCACAAAUGGGCAUUCAGUCCAAAAAUGAAAAUUUGAGUCUGAUUCAAGAAUAAAAUAGGCACCAACUUAAGGGAGCAUGUUAAGGAUCCCAAAUUGAAAAUCCCUAAUGUUUGAAGGAUACAUGAGUUACUCCUCUUGUUGCCAAUUGAUUUCUAGAUAGAAAUGCACAUCAUCUAAUAUAAUAUGGUAUGUGAGCAUGAGGUACUGCAUCCAAACAUCUAUUGUCCCUUCUUUCCCAACUAAAAUUGAUUUUCGCUUGUUGGAACUUUUACAAAUUUUCAGGCCAACAAGUGAGGGGUGAGUGAAGUAUUGAUAUAACAAAAUUUACUACAACCAUAGUUCUAGCAUUUGAGUCCAUCAGUGAUUUAACAAUUACAAUUUGGAGUUGCAAAUAUAAAGAUAAAGAAACAAAGCCCCCAACUUGAUUAUAAGCAUUAAAGUCCUUAGUUUAAAAAAAACUCAAAGGGAGCCUCUAGUAAGCAUGACCACUUCUCAAUUUGGAUGAAGUGUUGAUGCCGAACACGUGUCGAACACUGACACACCUCAACACGCGAGGAACACAUGUUAGACACACAAUUUUGCAUGUCUUUUUUCUUUAAAUCAGACACGCACGAGAAGAAUCCAAAAUCUUUAUCCUGAUUAUUUUUAAAAUUAAAAUAUAUAUAUACUAAAACUUGAAACCCUAAAAGACCCCACCUAUUGAUAACAUUGACCACAGCCUCCAUAAACAACAACAAACACCAGUUGUUGCUCGAACAUCUGCUACUCAUCGACGACUUCGCUUCUCACUAGGACUGUCGCAUCUCACCGGACGACCAUUGCAUCUCUUUAAGCGACUUGAACUUUGCAACUUCAUCUCCCCCAUGGAAAAGUGAAGGUCAUUGUCUUUUUUUUUUUUCAGUUUGUUCAAGUAUUUUUCAUUAUUAUUCUGUUUUUUUCAGUUCACAUUUCACGUUUUCUAAAAAAUUUCAAUCGCCAACUCUAUUGUGCAAGAAAUUCCUUCGUUUAGUGACACUUCCAAACUAACCACAACAAAUAUUGAGAAGAUUUUCGUCUUGUUUUUUAACCAUUCACAUUUUCUCUAUUAGAUGACAUCCUUUUUUUUAAGGAAGACAAGCCUCUUUAUUAAUAAUAAAUGAGACGAAUGCUCAAAGUACAAGAGUAGUAUACUAAGAGCAAAAUAAGAAAAAGACAAAGUCAUCUAAAUAAACUAAACAAAGAUGAACCCAGACAAAACAUAUGGGAAAAUUAGAUGACAUCUUCCUCGUUUACAUCUAACAAUAGUGGUCAAUCAUCAACGUUUCCUUCAAUAGCAACUACAUUCUCAUCCUCUAGUGUUGAAGAUGAGUCAAAACCACUCUGCCAAUAUGUCACCAGGAAUCAAAGAUUGACUCAGGGAGGUGAAAACAUAUCUUUGCAAUGUAACUUUUGUCAUUUCUCAAAGAAGAAUGCAUACACAAGGGUUAGAGCUCAUUUGUUAGGCUUGUGUUCUAAAGUUACCCUUCAAGAUAAGGCCAGCAUGCAUUAUCACAUAUAUUAUUAUUUAUAUAUAUUUAGUGUGCAUCUGUGUCCCCACAUACGUCUUUUUCUGGACAUUUCCAGAAAAAGACGUGUCGUCGUAUGACUCGUAUCAUGUCGGUCGUGUGUCCCAGCUGCUUAGGGAGGCCCAAACAACCCCCUCCCAAUGUUCCCUACAACUCUAAAGACUCUUUUAUUUCUCUCCAAAUAAAUGUUUCAAAAGAUAUAAAAAAUUGAAGAAGUGUUUGCCAAAGUGUUGCCCCUAUCCCGUAAGAAGGGUGAAAUAAAACCUCCUCCGCACCUCCAAAACCUAUGUUGGAAAUUUAUACGAGAUAUAAAUAAAUAAGGAAUAAACCAAAUUAUAUCUCAAACUCCCACUUAAAAGGUUAGAGCCAACUAAAUAAUUGAUCAUAAAAUUGUAAAAAAAUAAAGAAAAGGGAAAAAAGAGUACAACACCAAGAAAUAUAUUGAUUCGCUCAGAACUUGGGACUAUGUCCAAUAUUCUCCAGCUGCUAGUUCUACUAUGACGGAUGUUGCAAAGAACCCCCAAACUCGCUCUACAAAUUUUUUCCAAACAGCACAACACGAACUAUUUGGUUAUCAGUAUCACAACCCAAUAUCUUAGAAUAAACAAUAAGAGGAACUCUCAACCCAAGAAUAAUACUCUCUGUAUUUUUUCAACUCUGCUCACUGUCAUUAUAUAAAUGUUGAAAAGAAUCAAUAACCUCUAGCUCUUGGGGUUAUUCUCCUCGCGGCGCACUUGAUUUUUUUAAUUCUAGUUUUCAUCUUUUAAAGUUGAUUCCACCGUCUAUAAUUUUACUUUAAUCAUAACUCACCUCCAAAAUUUACCAAUAGAAGUUGCCUCAUCUUAAAUCACCAAUUGACCCAAAAGCUUAAGUUGAUGGAUAAAGACAAAUUUAAUAUAAUAUUUAACAUUCCCCUUCACUUGUGGGCUUGAGGUAUGAAGAAAGGCCCAACAAGUGGAAAUUAAUAUUAUUUUAGGAGAAAAUAACAUUGUGGUUUGAACCUAGGACAUCUGAAGCAACCUGCUCAGAUACCAUCUUAAAUACCAAUUGACCCAAAAGCUUAAACUAAUGGGUGAACACAAAUUUAAUAUAAUAUCUAACACCACUUUAUAGAAGUUAAUUAAAAGAGAUUCUCACACGAGUGGCUUUUCACUUGGAGCUCCACAAUUUCACCCAGGUGGCUUUUCAGUGAGUUGACUUUUACUAUUUGACAUUCACUAUUUUUUUACCCUUUGCUACAGUGUUUACUAUUUCCUUAUCAAACGAAAUUAGUCUACACACCAAACACAUACUAUUAUAUUCCAAACUAAAAUAAUCUACACCUCAAAUACAAACUAGGAUAGUCAAACUAUAAUAACUCACUUCUUGCCCCAAACACCCCUUGAGGGUUUUCCAUUGAUCAAAAGGAAAAUAUUAGCCACAAUUAUGGAUCUUGGAUCUCUAUUUCAUUCAAAAUCCUCUCUAUACACACUUUAACAAGGAAACCUUAUCCAAAAGAUCAUAAACUUUCACAAAAUCAAUCUUGGAAAUAACACCCUCCAAUUUAUAAAAGUAAUAAAAUUUUGGCUAGCACCUUUGCAAUUAUCUUAUAUAAGCUAGUGACAGGGCAGGCCAGUGGGUACCAACCACAAUUAUUUAGAUAAGAAGUACCAGCCCAGCUUACAUUUUUCAAAAGUAUCCUUUUAUCUCACCAAUUAAUCAUUUGCUAUUACUCAACAUAUCAGACUGAUUUGCUAUUACAAUAAUUCUAGCUCUCUGGCUGUAGUACAAUUAAAAGAGUCCACUCAGGCCUAUCUUACAAAGUAUGACCAACAUGAAACAUUUUUUUAGCUAACAAACACAUAAUAGGCAAAGGAACGACAUACAAGCUGUCAGUUACAUUUUGGUAGUGGGUUUUUCUUUUUUUUUUUUUUUUUUUUUUGGGGGGGGGGGGGGGGGGGGGAAGAACAUAGGUUGGAUGGCGAUAGAAUAAAUGUAGAUCAGGAUUUCCAUUACCAGUCAGCGGUAGUUCAAGAAUUACAGUAAAAUAAUUGUAUUCAUUCCUAUAUACUUUGAUGUUGAUGAAUUUUUUAUGUCAUCUAAGAUUCUGAAAGAUUAAUAAUAGAAUCACAUUGAACGGCUACACAAAAUUCACAUCAACAAGUGUGGAUUCGAGCAAGAUCAGAAAACACUUGGGUCUGUUAGAGAUACUUUGAUGUUGAUGAAUUUUUUUAUGUCAUCUAAGAUUCUGAAAGAUUAAUAAUAGAAUCACAUUGAACGGCUACACAAAAUUCACAUCAACAAGUGUGGAUUCGAGCAAGAUCAGAAAACACUUGGGUCUGUUAGAGAUACUGGUGGGUCGUCCAACAAAAAUCGUUAAGCAAUAAAAACAUAACUAAUGGCAAUACCUAAAUUGCAAAACACAAGAAUAUUAAGCCAGACAAGGUCGUCAUAAAAAUUCUACAGGUAUAAAAAUGGAAACUUAUUUCCAAACCAUACGCUUUCCUUUCCUACCAUUGAACUCACAAUAACAGUUACAAUUUUCAGCAGGCUACUUGAAAUUUCUUCCUAUAUGAUGACGAUUCCUUCCAUUAUGUGAUUGUGACUUGGCCACCAAUUCUAUAGUCAGCAAAAACACAAAAAGGUCCAAAUAAAUAAAUAUUGCUACAGGUACCUUUUAUUUCACACCAACUUUCGUGGUGGCCAACCAUCCACAGCCCGUGCUUUCACCUAGCAUAACAAUAAAGUUCCAUAGAUAAUGAGUAAUGAUUGGACAGGUUGAUUUUGCAGUUACUUUUUAAGAAACCAACUGAUAUGUAGAAAAUAGGUUGGAUACAUUGUUCCUGGAGCUACAGUGUGCUAGAAAAUCAAACAACUAAUCAUGCAUUUGAAAUACAUAAAAACACGUACGCUUAGAAUAUUUUACACAGCGCGUCCAAAUUCUAAAUAAAACAGAAGGAAACACGAAAACAGUUCAUCUGAGAAUCAUCCGAUGCCAGAACUCCAGCCAUGCAUCCAUUAGAUACAAGAAAUUCAGCUUCCAAGUUCCAUUAAAAAAUACAGUACACACAACAACCAAAUAUAUAAAGAUAAUCUACAACGUACGAAAGGCAGCUGAACCACACCACGGAGGAACUCAUAACACCGUAUCAACCUAUACAAAUCAGAAAUGAGAAGAUAUAUAAGUGAGGAAAAAACCGGCAUUACCUGGACCGCAAACCUCCAUGAUCAAUAAAAGAAAAUGAUCUCGAGCCUUCGAAUCGGGAACCGCCGUAGAUGAUACAGAACAAGAAACAACAAAUCAGAAACCGACGAAGAAAUCCAACGAGAAAAGUUGAAAAGGGAAAUCUGGAGAGGCGAAGGAUUUUUCCAUAGGUGUUUCAGCUUUGUUGUUUCCCGCGGAUUGAGAGGGGAGGAAUCAAAAAGGUCGCGGCGGGAGGAGAGAGAAGAAAAUAUCUCGGGCAAUUCGGGUGAAAUGAAAAAAAAAAAAAAAUGUAUGAGUUAGGAUCGUGUGGAAGCGAGGACACGUAAAGAGAAUGGGAUGGGCAGGGGUUUGGGAAUUUUAGAUGGCGUAGUUG
This is a long non-coding RNA of Cucumis sativus (cucumber), 5174 nucleotides long. RefSeq lists it as uncharacterized. The record is from RefSeq and is a predicted model, not a curated record. NCBI's taxonomy places the organism in Eukaryota, Viridiplantae, Streptophyta, Magnoliopsida, Cucurbitales, Cucurbitaceae. The transcript is spliced from 2 exons.